This 138-nucleotide ribosomal RNA is filed under the name Schistocerca interrita. RNAcentral's name for it is "partial 12S ribosomal RNA". The record is from RNAcentral. Lineage: Eukaryota; Metazoa; Arthropoda; Insecta; Orthoptera; Acrididae.
GGCUCUGAGGUGUGUACACAUCGCCCCGUCGCUCUCAUUAUUGAUUAUUCUAUUUUAUUAUUUUAAAGUAGCUCCAAUUUAGAUGAGAUAAGUCGUAACAUAGUAGAUGUACUGGAAAGUGUAUCUAGGAAGAGUUUC